AGAACACGCCUUACUCUCCUCCACCAGUCAUAGAAGGAGAAUGGUCUAAUGCCUCCCAUCAAAAAGAGAGCUGGUCCAAGCAAGCAAAGGCAGCAGCACAGUCAUCAACUACAUGCACCAUUUCUUCACCAACUAUGGAAACACGUGUGGUCCUGAAUUGUGAUAACUGCAGUGGCCAAAACAAGAACACGUUUGUGCUCUGGUAUUGUGUCUGGUAGACCAUGCACAAGCACCACCACAGCCACACCAAGUUUGUCCCCAAGUUCAGCCUCAUCAAGCAGCGCUUCAGAAAGACCCGAGUGAACACUUUGUCUGAGAUUGCUGGUGUUGUGAAGCACAUGAUAGUGACAGGGGUCAACAUCCCACAGUUGGUUGAACUAGAGGAUGGUACGGUGCUGGUGGAAAGUUAUGGCUGGCAACAACACCUGACUCCAUAAUUCAGGCCACUGCAACAGAUCAAGCAGCACUUCAGCUUCGAUGCUCUGGAGCCUGGUGAUGUUGUCACCUAGGAGCGUUCGGACUGUCGGGACCAGGUUUCAGCUGCUGCGCAACACUGACAUCCUUCCUCCCAUAGAUGCUCUGCCUGUACCACCUGGACUGGACACAGCUAGAUAAACUUAUCUUGUUGAGAAGAUUAGGGAGUCUCAGAGGCUAUGGACAUGCCCUGCACCAAAGUUAAGGGCAGGACAGAAACAUGCUCUCCGAAUAUAGAUUCCCUUGUUCAUGCAUGGUAUGGAUGGACCAGUCAUCAGCACUAACUACAGUGCCACUACUUUUUUUAUCCUGUUGCUCAGCCACUUUGAUUGUAUGCAUAUAACUACCUCGUCUAUCACUAUCGUUAUUGGUAUUGUUUGUGUACAUACUGUAUUUUAUUUAUAUUGGCACUAUCUAUUUCUGUAUUGCUACUUUGGAAGUAACCAUUUGGCUGUAACGCUUAUACCUUCUGUAGAGACCCAUCCACUUAGCAAGACUUUAGCAAAAUAUGGAUAUAUAAAGGGAAAAUUGUGUGGUCGUAACAUGAUCUUGUGACAUACCACAACUAUCGUCUGACUGUAUCAAGUGUCCACCACAUAAAUAUAUGGCGCAUUCAUCUGUUUUUGUGCUGUAUAUGUGCACCUCACUGAGGUUUCAACUUAGUUUAAAUGGCCUUAACUUAUGUAUGGUAUACUAUGUGAUAAGUGCGUGUGUAACAGUAUAUAAAUUAUGCUAAUGUUCUGGUGUGAAGCACUUCAGUAAAAAUACUUGAAAAUA
Oncorhynchus kisutch (coho salmon) is the source of this 1251-nucleotide long non-coding RNA. RefSeq lists it as uncharacterized. The record is from RefSeq and is a predicted model, not a curated record. Lineage: Eukaryota; Metazoa; Chordata; Actinopteri; Salmoniformes; Salmonidae. The transcript is spliced from 2 exons.